UAGGGAAUCUUCGGCAAUGGACGGAAGUCUGACCGAGCAGCGCCGCGUGAGUGAAGAAGGUUUUCGGAUCGUAAAGCUCUGUUGUAAGAGAAGAACGAGUGUGAGAGUGGAAAGUUCACACUGUGACGGUAUCUUACCAGAAAGGGACGGCUAACUACGUGCCAGCAGCCGCGGUAAUACGUAGGUCCCGAGCGUUGUCCGGAUUUAUUGGGCGUAAAGCGAGCGCAGGCGGUUAGAUAAGUCUGAAGUUAAAGGCUGUGGCUUAACCAUAGUACGCUUUGGAAACUGUUUAACUUGAGUGCAAGAGGGGAGAGUGGAAUUCCAUGUGUAGCGGUGAAAUGCGUAGAUAUAUGGAGGAACACCGGUGGCGAAAGCGGCUCUCUGGCUUGUAACUGACGCUGAGGCUCGAAAGCGUGGGGAGCAAACAGGAUUAGAUACCCUGGUAGUCCACGCCGUAAACGAUGAGUGCUAGGUGUUAGACCCUUUCCGGGGUUUAGUGCCGCAGCUAACGCAUUAAGCACUCCGCCUGGGGAGUACGACCGCAAGGUUG
This 550-nucleotide ribosomal RNA is filed under the name uncultured bacterium. RNAcentral's name for it is "bacterial SSU rRNA". It matches the Rfam family "Bacterial small subunit ribosomal RNA", at positions 355 to 896 of the family's 1533-position model. The record is from RNAcentral.